RNAcentral lists this ribosomal RNA (734 nucleotides) under uncultured eukaryote. RNAcentral's name for it is "bacterial SSU rRNA". It matches the Rfam family "Eukaryotic small subunit ribosomal RNA", at positions 672 to 1426 of the family's 1831-position model. The record is from RNAcentral.
GGCUUGUACUGUCCUGACUGGGUCUUACCUUCUGGUGAGCUGUCGUGUUGUUUACUCAGUGCGGCAGGGAACCAGGACUUUUACUUUGAAAAAAUUAGAGUGUUUAAAGCAGGCAUUCGCUUGAAUACAUUAGCAUGGAAUAAUAAAAUAGGACUUUGGUUCUAUUUUGUUGGUUUCUAGGACCGAAGUAAUGAUUAAUAGGGAUAGUUGGGGGCAUUAGUAUUUAAUUGUCAGAGGUGAAAUUCUUGGAUUUAUGAAAGACUAACUUCUGCGAAAGCAUUUGCCAAGGAUGUUUUCAUUAAUCAAGAACGAAAGUUAGGGGAUCGAAGACGAUCAGAUACCGUCGUAGUCUUAACCAUAAACUAUGCCGACUAGGGAUCAGACAAGGAUUUUUUGACUUGUUUGGCACCUUAUGAGAAAUCAAAGUUUUUGGGUUCCGGGGGGAGUAUGGUCGCAAGGCUGAAACUUAAAGGAAUUGACGGAAGGGCACCACCAGGAGUGGAGCCUGCGGCUUAAUUUGACUCAACACGGGAAAACUCACCCGGUCCGGACACCGUAAGGAUUGACAGACUGAUAGCUCUUUCUUGAUUCGGUGGUUGGUGGUGCAUGGCCGUUCUUAGUUGGUGGAGUAAUUUGUCUGGUUUAUUCCGAUAACGAGCGAGACUCUAGCCUGCUAAAUAGAACGAGGAUAAACCUUUUCAUAGGUCCUCGAUGCUUCUUAGAGGAAUUAGCGG